Molecule: long non-coding RNA, 1819 nt
Filed under: Nicotiana benthamiana
Lineage: Eukaryota; Viridiplantae; Streptophyta; Magnoliopsida; Solanales; Solanaceae
Description: long non-coding RNA (NBEN_LNC005698)
Rfam family: MIR6151 microRNA precursor family (bases 368-438)
Source: RNAcentral
GCCGAAGAAACCUGACCCUACUCGUUCCUAAUUAAAAGAAAAUGGUUUAAUCUCUAAAAUCCCAAAGAACACCCACGCGACUAUGCUUCUUUUUCUCCAAAAGCACCUGAAUCCAGCCCUAACAAUGUCCAAAUUCGAGCGAUCUCUCCUCAUGCGUUCUCCUUUCUCUCCUCUUACCACAGAUAACCAUUUCUGACACUGAAGAUUCUCAUUCCCUUCGCUCGCUCGAUUUGGAGAUAAGGCACGUGAUUAGAAGCUUCUGGGAACGAUUUGGUGGAUGAGUGUGAGGCGUUGGAUUGAUUUCACUUAAUCCAAGCCCCACAUUCGAUUUGGAGAUAAGGCACGCGAUUGGAAGCUUCUGGGAACGAUUUGCUGGAUGAGUGUGAGGCGUUGGAUUGAUUUCACUCAAUUCAAGCCCAACAUUCAUCAGGAAUCCAUUUUCUAAAGGAGCUCGAUCCGAUUUCGAAAGGGGGACUGAAAAAAAAUUCAGAGAAAAAGGGUUUUAAGGUUUCUAAAAUGAACUUCUGGUUUUAAAAUUUUUGGUUUUUUUUGAAGAGUUCUUUCAAGGUGUAAGGGGAACAUAUAUAUAAAAUUGUUUAUCUUUGAAUUUGGUUUGUUGAAUUCUUAAGAGAUAGAAAUGAAUGAAGGUCGUUCAACUGAUGGUGAGAUUUAAGCUUGUCGACUUCGAUUUUCUACUGUCAUCUUGAUGGUUGCAGCUGAACCUCAUUAGGAUUUGGAGUCGAAAGGUGUGUUUUCGAGUCUCUAAUUAUCAGGAAGUUUGAAAUAUCAAAUAAAAUUUCUUUUCUCUUCUACAUUUAUAUUUCAAAGUGUUUGGAAUGGUGAGGUUUUGUUCAAUGGUAUUCUGUCAUGUGAUUCAAUUUUUUGUUGAUGAAUUUCUUCUCAAUGGUGUAAUGUGUUUGGGUAUAUUCAGCCACUAGAAGCUGAGUUUGAAGGGUCAUCUUCUGUUUAGUUGCUAUCAUGAUAUCGAGUUUUUAUGUAAGUCAGGAUUUCAAUUUUUCGGGUCUAAAAGUCUAUUGGAAUGGUUCUGGUGUGGAAAUGGGACAGCCUAUUUAAGGUUGGAUGUGUGCUUGAGUCGCUGCAUCACUGAACAAUAUCAGCUCUUUCUCUGUUGAUUUGAGCUUGCAAUUUGUUGUGCCUUGAUCAAUAUAGGAUUUGUGGUUCCUUUUUAGCUUCAAUAUAAGCUCAUAAAAUCUGUAAACGAUUGUUUUUUGGUGUUCAUCACGACCUGCUAUGAAAGUUGAGAAAUAAGCAAUUCAGUGCUUGUUUUAAAGCUGUAAAUGGUCUAAAUUGCAGGUGUCAAAGAUAAUGUCAUUGCUGGGCUCAUUGCAGCUUCAUUUCUUCCUAACACAAUCAGAUAUAGAUAGAUUUCGUGGUUGUUCAUGAACAUCUCACUUGUAUGGCCAAGUUUAAGGCAGAGUGAAUUCUGAAAUUGUCCUUUACAGUUUGAUACAAGUCUUGUCUGGUUUGAUGCACUAGCUUUUUGCCUUACUGAGUGAUAAUUGCACUCGAGAAUCCUCUUUACUCGACCUAAAACAGUUGGCAUCCUUGGUGGAUGUUCUUAUUGGUUUGUUGUUUGAUUCUCUGCUUUAUCUUAACAUGAUUAAACAAUCACAAGGUAAGAUCAAUAUGUGACUAAAGUUAUGGAUUCUAUCAAUUUGUUUAGAAAUAGAUAAUGGGAGUUAAGGCCAGUAGAAUCAGAUUGUUACGAGUUGAAGCAUCAAUGAGUUUACAGGGACCCCCUAUCAUUAAAUACGUUAUGUGUUGUUGAGGGCAAUCACAUUUCUUCUGCUCAAUUCCU